Molecule: long non-coding RNA, 593 nt
Filed under: Homo sapiens (human)
Lineage: Eukaryota; Metazoa; Chordata; Mammalia; Primates; Hominidae
Description: HSALNT0109641
Source: RNAcentral
UGGAAAAACCAACAAUUUAACUUGAUAAUCAACACUCUAGGCAGAAUAGUUAGGUUUUGGGAUGAUGGUUUUGAUGGUGGGGAAGCUAAGACAGGAAGAUGAAGGAAAAAAGGACCAUUUGCAACCAUAUAUAAGGAAAGGGCAUUUAUAAAUCAGAAUAAUUUCUAAUUGUUAAAAUAAUCACUAUGCUCACACAUUCUAUUUAACCUUCCUCUUUUAGCUGGAUAUACUGUGGGGCUUUUAUAGAAAGCAAUACUUUGAGGGUAAUUUAGCCACUUUGAAAAAAGAAUAUAUAUAAUAUAUGAAGGGUUAUUUUUACAGAGAACAAUGCUCAGUUACUCCCUGUUUCCAGAGUAGAAGAGGAAAAGAGCUUUACCUAGAGCAAGAAAAUAGAAAAGGCUUUUUAGCACUGAGAAGUGUUCAUUCCUGGGAAAAGAAAGACAAAGAAUGGCUUAAUCACUGACUGUCAAAUAAAUGAAGGCCUAUCAACUGGAGAGAAACUGUUAGAUAAAAGAGAGAGAGAACUAAAACAAAAGAUCUACCCUAGAAGGAAGCACCAUUUUGAUUCUAAAGAUUGUGGGAGUCUCUUGGGG